Molecule: ribosomal RNA, 238 nt
Filed under: Charinus sp. 4 GSM-2017
Lineage: Eukaryota; Metazoa; Arthropoda; Arachnida; Amblypygi; Charinidae
Description: partial large subunit ribosomal RNA
Rfam family: Bacterial large subunit ribosomal RNA
Source: RNAcentral
GGUAGCAAAAUAAUUAGUCUUUUGAUUGGGGACUGGAAUGAAUGAUUGGACGAGAAAAUAGCUGUCUUUUAAUUGAAAUUAAUAUUGAUGUGAGGAGGCAUAAGGGACGAUAAGACCCUAUUAAGUUUAAUUAUUUUGCUGGGGCGGUAAUGAUGAUUAUAGGUUUAAAUUACUGUAGGGAUAACAGCGUGAAAUUUUUGGAGAGAUCAUAUUGAUAAAAAGUUUUGCGACCUCGAUG